Molecule: ribosomal RNA, 507 nt
Filed under: uncultured Shigella sp.
Lineage: Bacteria; Pseudomonadati; Pseudomonadota; Gammaproteobacteria; Enterobacterales; Enterobacteriaceae
Description: bacterial SSU rRNA
Rfam family: Bacterial small subunit ribosomal RNA
Source: RNAcentral
AACACCGGUAUCGGGAUACUGCGCGUAAGCGCACGCAGGCGGUUUGUUAGUCAGAUGUGAAAUCCCCGGGCUCAACCUGGGAACUGCAUCUGAUACUGGCAAGCUUGAGUCUCGUAGAGGGGGGUAGAAUUCCAGGUGUAGCGGUGAAAUGCGUAGAGAUCUGGAGGAAUACCGGUGGCGAAGGCGGCCCCCUGGACGAAGACUGACGCUCAGGUGCGAAUGCGUGGGGAGCAAACAGGAUUAGAUACCCUGGUAGUCCACGCCGUAAACGAUGUCGACUUGGAGGUUGUGCCCUUGAGGCGUGGCUUCCGGAGCUAACGCGUUAAGUCGACCGCCUGGGGAGUACGGCCGCAAGGUUAAAACUCAAAUGAAUUGACGGGGGCCCGCACAAGCGGUGGAGCAUGUGGUUUAAUUCGAUGCAACGCGAAGAACCUUACCUGGUCUUGACAUCCACGGAAGUUUUCAGAGAUGAGAAUGUGCCUUCGGGAACCGUGAGACGGGUGCUGC